This 23-nucleotide non-coding RNA is filed under the name Arabidopsis thaliana (thale cress). The record is from RNAcentral. Lineage: Eukaryota; Viridiplantae; Streptophyta; Magnoliopsida; Brassicales; Brassicaceae.
GCACCCGCGAGGGAUCCCGCCAA